RNAcentral lists this ribosomal RNA (253 nucleotides) under uncultured bacterium. RNAcentral describes it as "partial 16S ribosomal RNA". It matches the Rfam family "Bacterial small subunit ribosomal RNA", at positions 524 to 776 of the family's 1533-position model. The record is from RNAcentral.
UACGUAGGGUCCGAGCGUUGUCCGGAAUUAUUGGGCGUAAAGGGCUCGUAGGCGGUUUGUCGCGUCGGGAGUGAAAAUCCAGGGCUUAACUCUGGACUGGCUUUCGAUACGGGCAGACUAGAGGUAUGCAGGGGAGAACGGAAUUCCUGGUGUAGCGGUGAAAUGCGCAGAUAUCAGGAGGAACACCGGUGGCGAAGGCGGUUCUCUGGGCAUUACCUGACGCUGAGGAGCGAAAGUGUGGGGAGCGAACAGG